ACCAACAGGGAUUGCCCCAGUAACGGCGAGUGAAGCGGCAACAGCUCAAAUUUGAAAUCUGGCCCCCGGGUCCGAGUUGUAAUUUGCAGAGGAUGCUUUGGGCGAGGUGCCUUCCGAGUUCCCUGGAACGGGACGCCACAGAGGGUGAGAGCCCCGUCUGGUCGGACACCGAGCCCGUGUAAAGCUCCUUCGACGAGUCGAGUAGUUUGGGAAUGCUGCUCAAAAUGGGAGGUAUAUGUCUUCUAAAGCUAAAUAUUGGCCAGAGACCGAUAGCGCACAAGUAGAGUGAUCGAAAGAUGAAAAGCACUUUGAAAAGAGGGUUAAAAAGUACGUGAAAUUGUUGAAAGGGAAGCGCCUAUGACCAGACUUGGGCCCGGUGAAUCAUCCAGCGUUCUCGCUGGUGCACUUUGCCGGGCACAGGCCAGCAUCAGUUUGGCGCGGGGGACAAAGGCUUCGGGAAUGUGGCUCCCUCGGGAGUGUUAUAGCCCGCUGCGUAAUACCCUGCGCCGGACUGAGGUACGCGCAUCGCAAGGAUGCUGGCGUAAUGGUCAUCAGCGACCCGUCUUGAAACACGGACCAAGGAGUCGUCUUCGUAUGCGAGUGUUCGGGUGUCAAACCCCUACGCGGAAUGAAAGUGAACGCAGGUGAGAGCUUCGGCGCAUCAUCGACCGAUCCUGAUGUUCUCGGAUGGAUUUGAGUAAGAGCAUACGGGGCCGGACCCGAAAGAAGGUGAACUAUGCCUGUAUAGGGUGAAGCCAGAGGAAACUCUGGUGGAGGCUCGCAGCGGUUCUGACGUGCGAAUCGAUCGUCAAAUAUGGGCAUGGGGGCGAAAGACUAAUCGAACCUU
This 847-nucleotide ribosomal RNA is filed under the name Clavicipitaceae sp. J4. RNAcentral describes it as "LSU rRNA". It matches the Rfam family "Eukaryotic large subunit ribosomal RNA", at positions 64 to 943 of the family's 3401-position model. Lineage: Eukaryota; Fungi; Ascomycota; Sordariomycetes; Hypocreales; Clavicipitaceae. The record is from RNAcentral.